Molecule: ribosomal RNA, 483 nt
Filed under: uncultured bacterium
Lineage: Bacteria
Description: partial 16S ribosomal RNA
Rfam family: Bacterial small subunit ribosomal RNA
Source: RNAcentral
AUUGAACGCUGGCGGCAUGCUUUACACAUGCCAGUCGAACGGCAGCGCGGGCUUCGGCCUGGCGGCGAGUGGCGAACGGGUGAGUAAUGCAUCGGAACGUGCCCAGUAGUGGGGGAUAGCCCGGCGAAAGCCGGAUUAAUACCGCAUACGACCUGAGGGUGAAAGCGGGGGACCGAAAGGCCUCGCGCUAUUGGAGCGGCCGAUGUCGGAUUAGCUAGUUGGUGGGGUAAAGGCUUACCAAGGCGACGAUCCGUAGCUGGUCUGAGAGGACGACCAGCCACACUGGGACUGAGACACGGCCCAGACUCCUACGGGAGGCAGCAGUGGGGAAUUUUGGACAAUGGGGGCAACCCUGAUCCAGCCAUGCCGCGUGCGGGAAGAAGGCCUUCGGGUUGUAAACCGCUUUUGUUCGGGAAGAAAUCCUCUGGGCUAAUACCCCGGGGGGAUGACGGUACCGGAAGAAUAAGCACCGGCUAACUACGU